RNAcentral lists this ribosomal RNA (452 nucleotides) under uncultured organism. RNAcentral's name for it is "partial 16S ribosomal RNA". It matches the Rfam family "Bacterial small subunit ribosomal RNA", at positions 330 to 798 of the family's 1533-position model. The record is from RNAcentral.
CGUACACUCCUGCGGGAGGCAGCAGUGGGGAAUAUUGGACAAUGGGCGCAAGCCUGAUCCAGCCAUGCCGCGUGAGUGAUGAAGGCCCUAGGGUUGUAAAGCUCUUUCACCGGUGAAGAUAAUGACGGUAACCGGAGAAGAAGCCCCGGCUAACUUCGUGCCAGCAGCCGCGGUAAUACGAAGGGGGCUAGCGUUGUUCGGAUUUACUGGGCGUAAAGCGCACGUAGGCGGACUAUUAAGUCAGGGGUGAAAUCCCGGGGCUCAACCCCGGAACUGCCUUUGAUACUGGUAGUCUUGAGUGCGAGAGAGGUGAGUGGAAUUCCGAGUGUAGAGGUGAAAUUCGUAGAUAUUCGGAGGAACACCAGUGGCGAAGGCGGCUCACUGGCUCGAUACUGACGCUGAGGUGCGAAAGCGUGGGGAGCAAACAGGAUUAGAUACCCGGGUAGUCCCAU